RNAcentral lists this long non-coding RNA (341 nucleotides) under Phoenix dactylifera (date palm). Its description in RNAcentral is "long non-coding RNA (PDAC_LNC004996)". The record is from RNAcentral. Lineage: Eukaryota; Viridiplantae; Streptophyta; Magnoliopsida; Arecales; Arecaceae.
AAUACAUGACUCCACUACAAUCUGCCACCAUUCCUAGGUCAUCAAGGCACGUGAUCUCCGCCGGCAUUCGGCACGCCCUAUCAUUAAUGCAUGAGACCCCCUCAGGCCUCCGAUGCACUCGACCAUUAAAUGAACACGGCUCAAGAUGAUCUCCGGAUCACUGAACCAUCAAAGCAUAUGGCUCUUCCUGACCACCGGUUCACUCAGCAAUUAAUGCACUUGCUAUCUACGAACCCCAGGCCCACCACGGCCGGCGGUUCAACCACCCCAACGGGUCCGAUCAACCGUGACAACUCCCUGACUCCGGCCUGAUCCGGCCUUAUUCUCCACAACGCCAUUAA